GACAGCUUGGCCGAGUGGUUAAGGCGAUAGACUAGGAAUCUAUUGGGGUAACCCGUGUGAGUUCAAAUAUCACAGCUGUCG
Molecule: transfer RNA, 81 nt
Filed under: Phytophthora kernoviae
Lineage: Eukaryota; Oomycota; Peronosporomycetes; Peronosporales; Peronosporaceae
Also listed under: 1 other name
Rfam family: tRNA
About the family: Transfer RNA (tRNA) molecules are approximately 80 nucleotides in length. Their secondary structure includes four short double-helical elements and three loops (D, anti-codon, and T loops). Further hydrogen bonds mediate the characteristic L-shaped molecular structure. tRNAs have two regions of fundamental functional importance: the anti-codon, which is responsible for specific mRNA codon recognition, and the 3' end, to which the tRNAs corresponding amino acid is attached (by aminoacyl-tRNA synthetases). tRNAs cope with the degeneracy of the genetic code in two manners: having more than one tRNA (with a specific anti-codon) for a particular amino acid; and 'wobble' base-pairing, i.e. permitting non-standard base-pairing at the 3rd anti-codon position.
Source: Rfam by way of RNAcentral